AACGAACGCUGGCGGCAGGCCUAACACAUGCAAGUCGAACGAAGUCUUCGGACUUAGUGGCGCACGGGGGAGUAACACGUGGGAAUAUACCUUACGCUGGGGGAUAACAUCGGGAAACUGAUGCUAAUACCGCAUACGCCCUUCGGGGGAAAGAUUUAUCGGCGAAAGAUUAGCCCGCGUCCGAUUAGCUAGUUGGUGAGGUAAUGGCUCACCAAGGCUCCGAUCGGUAGCUGGUCUGAGAGGAUGACCAGCCACACUGGGACUGAGACACGGCCGAGACUCCUACGGGACGCAGCAGUGGGGCAUAUUGGACAAUGGGCGCAAGCCUGAUGCAGCCAUGCCGCGUGAGUGAUGAAGGCCUUAGGGUUGUAAAGCUCUUUCACCCACGACGAUGAUGACGGUAGUGGGAGAAGAAGCCCCGGCUAACUUCGUG
This 433-nucleotide ribosomal RNA is filed under the name uncultured bacterium. RNAcentral's name for it is "partial 16S ribosomal RNA". It matches the Rfam family "Bacterial small subunit ribosomal RNA", at positions 29 to 507 of the family's 1533-position model. The record is from RNAcentral.